This 722-nucleotide long non-coding RNA is filed under the name Brassica rapa (field mustard). RNAcentral's name for it is "long non-coding RNA (BRAP_LNC004615)". The record is from RNAcentral. Lineage: Eukaryota; Viridiplantae; Streptophyta; Magnoliopsida; Brassicales; Brassicaceae.
AACGUGGCGAAUCCGCACGGUCAGGGCGCGGCGACGUAUUCGACUAACGGAUUGAAUAUGCGUAGAUCGGCGAUGACGAAUUCGCUGGUGAGGAUCGGUGGGGUUGAAGGUGAGUGGGUGAGAAGAGCCUUGACGACGCUGAUAAGGCCUUCGUCGCAUCAGCUGAAGAGGCGAUCUGCUUAUCAGCCGAGGCCUAGCAGGCUAUCGUCUAUGUCGAAGGCGGAUGAUGUUUGAAUCUGGUUAUCAGGUUUGUUCUUGUUUCUGAAUCAGCCACAGGGAUAGAUCCGGCGAAGAAGUCUGGAUCUGGAGCGACCUGGAUCUGCGCGGAUGGGCCGAGUCAUAUUGGGCCGAGUCAAAUCGGAGGGAGAUAUGUAAAAACGGAGACUGAAACGACACCGUCUUAUAAGACUUGUUAUGUUGGGUGAAGAUGAGAUUGUACCUUAGUAACUCAUAUGAUAACGAAGAAAGCAGAUAAUGUUUCCCUAAGCAGAAAAUAUCUUAGAACAAAUUAAAGAAAAAAAUCGAAUUGCGUUAUUAAAUUCUGGAUAUGAAACAAGGGACUGUCAAAUAUUCUGGAUCCCGUUUGAGUUUUGCGCCGUUAUCUGUUCCGUCAACGUUCUCUACUGCCGUAGACCCGUUCCGUUUGCCGUUAACCGUCGUCGUGUGGCUCGUUAUGUGUUCUGUUAUGAUUCCCAGGUAUGUGUUGUUCGUCGUGUGUGAGG